CAGUGGGGAAUUUUGGACAAUGGGGGCAACCCUGAUCCAGCAAUGCCGCGUGAGUGAAGAAGGCCUUCGGGUUGUAAAGCUCUUUUGUCAGGGAAGAAACAGCAGCUCUAACACAGUCUGCGAAUGACGGUACCUGAAGAAUAAGCACCGGCUAACUACGUGCCAGCAGCCGCGGUAAUACGUAGGGUGCGAGCGUUAAUCGGAAUUACUGGGCGUAAAGCGUGCGCAGGCGGUUAUACAAGACAGGCGUGAAAUCCCCGGGCUUAACCUGGGAAUGGCGUUCUGUGACUGUAUAGCUAGAGUGUGUCAGAGGGGGGUGGAAUUCCACGUGUAGCAGUGAAAUGCGUAGAUAUGUGGAGGAACACCAAUGGCGAAGGCAGCCCCCUGGGAUAACACUGACGCUCAUGCACGAAAGCGUGGGGAGCAAACAGGAUUAGAUACCC
RNAcentral lists this ribosomal RNA (443 nucleotides) under beta proteobacterium SCGC AAA027-G13. Its description in RNAcentral is "bacterial SSU rRNA". It matches the Rfam family "Bacterial small subunit ribosomal RNA", at positions 352 to 787 of the family's 1533-position model. The record is from RNAcentral. Lineage: Bacteria; Pseudomonadati; Pseudomonadota; Betaproteobacteria.